CUCAGGAUGAACGCUGGCGGCGUGCUUAACACAUGCAAGUCGAACGAAGCACCUCUAAUCGAAGAUUGAGAAAGCUUGCUUUGAUUGAUUCGACCUUGAGGUGACUGAGUGGCGGACGGGUGAGUAACGCGUGGGUAACCUACCCUAUACAGGGGGAGUAACAGUUGGAAACGACUGCUAAUACCGCAUAAGCGCACAGGACCGCAUGGUCUAGUGUGAAAAACUCCGGUGGUAUAGGAUGGACCCGCGUCUGAUUAGCUAGUUGGUGAGGUAACGGCUCACCAAGGCGACGAUCAGUAGCCGACCUGAGAGGGUGACCGGCCACAUUGGGACUGAGACACGGCCCAAACUCCUACGGGAGGCAGCAGUGGGGAAUAUUGCACAAUGGGCGAAAGCCUGAUGCAGCGACGCCGCGUGAACGAAGAAGUAUUUCGGUAUGUAAAGUUCUAUCAGCAGGGAAGAAAAAUGACGGUACCUGACUAAGAAGCUCCGGCUAAAUACGUGCCAGCCGCAGC
Molecule: ribosomal RNA, 515 nt
Filed under: uncultured bacterium
Lineage: Bacteria
Description: bacterial SSU rRNA
Rfam family: Bacterial small subunit ribosomal RNA
Source: RNAcentral